Molecule: long non-coding RNA, 401 nt
Organism: Chrysoperla carnea
Lineage: Eukaryota; Metazoa; Arthropoda; Insecta; Neuroptera; Chrysopidae
Exons: 4
Source: RefSeq, a predicted model, not a curated record
AUUCAGAUGAAGAUAUGUUUGAUAUGAUAAUAUCAACAAAUGAAAUCCCAGAUAAUUUUUAUUUAAUACAGGAUGGUGAAGCCAACGAAGACAACGAAAACAACGAAGACAACGAAGACAAUAAUAUAGAAGAGAUGGAAAUUGAGGAUAGUGUAGAUGACGAAUCGGAAAAUGAGGAAAUAGAAGAUAGUACAGAUGAUGAUGAAUUGGAAAAUGAUUAAAUUGAGGGUGGUGGAAACGAUGAUUUAGAAGAUGAGGAAAUUGGGUAUAGUGAAGAUGAUGAAGAAUAGAGUUAAAAAAUAAUCAACAUAAAUUAUGAACAACCUUUAGAUUUAGACAUUGGGAAGUAUGAAAAUUAUACAUCACUUAUGGAAAUAUUGAAGAAAAGUCAGGAUAAUUUA